This 299-nucleotide unclassified non-coding RNA is filed under the name uncultured fungus. RNAcentral's name for it is "sequence contains ITS1". The stretch from base 1 to 102 matches the Rfam family "5.8S ribosomal RNA", at positions 50 to 154 of the family's 154-position model. Lineage: Eukaryota; Fungi. The record is from RNAcentral.
GAAGUGCGAUAAGUGUCAUGACUUGCAGAUCCCCGAGAGCUGACAAAUUUCUGAAUGCACAUGGCGGCCAACUCACCGUUGGUCAUGUAUUGCAGAGUGUAGUUGUUCAUACUCAUCAUCCUUCUGGAUCACAUCUAGGAGGGAUCUGCGCUUGCUAGGAGUGCGAGCGUCAAACGUCAGAGUGGACGCCUUCUCGCUUGUCGGGAAGGGGUCCAACUUCGGAGUUUCAUAGAAGUUCCCCCAUACUCUGUCACUUCUCCCAUUCACCUCUGCAAUGCAGGAAAACCCGCUGAACUUAA